UACGGGGGGGGUAAGCGUUGUUCGGAAUUACUGGGCGUAAAGGGCUCGUAGGCGGCCAACUAAGUCAGACGUGAAAUCCCUCAGCUUAACUGGGGAACUGCGUCUGAUACUGGAUGGCUUGGAUUCGGGAGAGGAAUGCGGAAUUCCAGGUGUAGCGGUGAAAUGCGUAGAUAUCAGGAGGAACACCGGUGGCGAAGGCGGGUCUCUGGGCCGUAACUGACGCUGAGGAGCGAAAGCAUGGGGAGCGAACAGG
This 253-nucleotide ribosomal RNA is filed under the name uncultured bacterium. RNAcentral describes it as "partial 16S ribosomal RNA". It matches the Rfam family "Bacterial small subunit ribosomal RNA", at positions 524 to 776 of the family's 1533-position model. The record is from RNAcentral.